This 142-nucleotide ribosomal RNA is filed under the name uncultured eukaryote. Its description in RNAcentral is "partial 18S ribosomal RNA". It matches the Rfam family "Eukaryotic small subunit ribosomal RNA", at positions 1299 to 1458 of the family's 1831-position model. The record is from RNAcentral.
UGGUGGAGUGAUUUGUCUGCUUAAUUGCGAUAACGAACGAGACCUUAACCUACUAACUAGUUACGCGAACAUUUUCGUUCGUGGCGAACUUCUUAGAGGGACUUUUGCGUGUUUUAACCAAAGGAAGUUUGAGGCAAUAACA